Molecule: ribosomal RNA, 529 nt
Filed under: uncultured bacterium
Lineage: Bacteria
Description: bacterial SSU rRNA
Rfam family: Bacterial small subunit ribosomal RNA
Source: RNAcentral
ACCUUUGACAUGUACGGGAAUCCUUCAGAGAUGAGGGAGUGCUCGAAAGAGAGCCGUAACACAGGUGCUGCAUGGCUGUCGUCAGCUCGUGUCGUGAGAUGUUGGGUUAAGUCCCGCAACGAGCGCAACCCUUGCCAUUAGUUGCUACGAAAGGGCAUUCUAAUGGGACUGCCGGUGACAAACCGGAGGAAGGUGGGGAUGACGUCAAGUCCUCAUGGCCCUUAUAGGUGGGGCUACACACGUCAUACAAUGGCUGGUACAGAGGGUUGCCAACCCGCGAGGGGGAGCCAAUCCCAUAAAGCCAGUCGUAGUCCGGAUCGCAGUCUGCAACUCGACUGCGUGAAGUCGGAAUCGCUAGUAAUCGCGGAUCAGAAUGUCGCGGUGAAUACGUUCCCGGGUCUUGUACACACCGCCCGUCACACCAUGGGAGCGGGUCUCGCCAGAAGUAGGUAGCCUAACCGCAAGGAGGGCGCUUACCACGGCGGGGUUCGUGACUGGGGUGAAGUCGUAACAAGGUAAGCGUAGUGCU